This 990-nucleotide ribosomal RNA is filed under the name uncultured bacterium. RNAcentral's name for it is "bacterial SSU rRNA". It matches the Rfam family "Bacterial small subunit ribosomal RNA", at positions 49 to 1085 of the family's 1533-position model. The record is from RNAcentral.
AUACACAUGCAGUCGAACGAAGUAGCAAUACUUAGUGGCAGACGGGUGAGUAACAUGUAGGUAUCUGCCCUUUGGCCUGGAAUAACACGAGGAAACUUGUGCUAAUACCGGAUAAGUCUUUACGGAGAAAGCUUUAUGCACCAUUGGAUGAGCCUGCACUUGAUUAGUUUGUUGGUGGGGUAAUGGCCUACCAAGACUGUGAUCAAUAGCUGAUUUGAGAGGAUGAUCAGCCACAUUGGGACUGAGACACGGCCCAAACUCCUACGGGAGGCAGCAGUGGGGAAUCUUGCACAAUGGAGGAAACUCUGAUGCAGCGAUGCCGCGUGAGUGAAGAAGGCCUUUGGGUUGUAAAGCUCUUUCGUCGGGGAAGAAAAUGACUGUACCCGAAUAAGAAGGUCCGGCUAACUUCGUGCCAGCAGCCGCGGUAAUACGAAGGGACCUAGCGUAGUUCGGAAUUACUGGGCUUAAAGAGUUCGUAGGUGGUUGAAAAAGUUGGUGGUGAAAUCCCAGAGCUUAACUCUGGAACUGCCAUCAAAACUUUUCAGCUAGAGUAUGAUAGAGGAAAGCAGAAUUUCUAGUGUAGAGGUGAAAUUCGUAGAUAUUAGAAAGAAUACCAAUUGCGAAGGCAGCUUUCUGGAUCAUUACUGACACUGAGGAACGAAAGCAUGGGUAGCGAAGAGGAUUAGAUACCCUCGUAGUCCAUGCCGUAAACGAUGUGUGUUAGACGUUGGAAAUUUAUUUUCAGUGUCGCAGGGAAACCGAUAAACACACCGCCUGGGGAGUACGACCGCAAGGUUAAAACUCAAAUGAAUUGACGGGGACCCGCACAAGUAGUGGAGCAUGUGGUUUAAUUCGAAGAUACGCGCAGAACCUUACCAACACUUGACAUGUUCGUCGCGACUCUAGAGAUUAGAGUUUUCGGUUCGGCCGGACGAAACACAGGUGCUGCAUGGCUGUCGUCAGCUCGUGUCGUGNGAUGUUGGGUUAAGU